AAAAGACUUGAUCUUUAAAAUAUGCGGAAUCCCUAAAACUCGGAAAAUUUCAAUGAUAUUUAUAGUUGAUAGUUAUUUAUAAAGUGCCAGAGGUAUUGCCGGGUCAAGGCCGAAAUUCAUCUUCAUAACGUCACAGAACACGGAGAAGAAUAUGAAGGCAUCUACAAAAUGGUUGAGGGUGAAACCAAUAGAUCGAUCCUUCGAGUUGUGAAUACUGAUAAGGGAUUGAAUGACUAGCAAAAUUCCAGCCGCCACCUGCGUGUAAAGUUCUAAGGUGUCUUUGCAUGCGGUUCGAGGAGUCUAAGCGGCUGUGACGAGUACUCAAUGCCGAAACCCGAAAUAAUUACAUUCAGAACGGAUAUCACGAAUAUCACCACCAAUAUGAUAUCGUUCAAGAUGAUCGCCGCCGUCUGAUCUUUCUGCCGAUUGAUGUUGAGACCGCCGAUGGCCACAAACAGAAUUCCAACCAAUAGCUGUCAAAAAUGGAUAUUGAGAUUGUUAAAAAUCAAGCUUUUUUCUAUCAAUCUAAAGAUGUUUAUUGGCCCCCUCUAAUUCACGUUAUUCAGGAGAUCGCCUUGCGGCGGGGGCAGACGACUAUCAAAGGCCGAGAUAAAGAGAUUUAGCAUCGUUGUGAAAAACGCAAUUGCAGUGCGAACAUGAUUAAUAACAUUGGCCGAUUGGUGAAACUCUGGCUGGUGGAGUCGGCAGUCCCUCAACAAACUCAGCGACAAGCUUAGGACACCCGACAGUAUCUAAGGACAUGUGAAGAACGAGGCCGUUACUACCCCAUGCCGAGCAGGAAAAGCGACAACUCACCUGCAUCACGAUCGACAGACUGAUGAGAAUCAGCAUCAGCUUGUAAAACUGAUGCUGUUCCCCCACCUGGAGGAUGUACUUCAACUGGGAGGCAUUGGCAGUCAGCAGUGCUAUAUCCAGCAUGCCCUGGGCGAUCGUCUUCUUCGUCGCAUACCGAUUGGCGUCCAUGGCUUUCAUCUAAAAUGAUGAAGAGUUUACUAUAAUUACAACCGUAAGCGUAUAAACUAUUAAAUAUGUAACAUGAUGGAUAGAUAGAUACAUUGUCGAAGAACGAUACCAUUUUUUCAGAGCAAGUGCUGAAUUUAGACUGACGACUGAUUCUGGUAGAUCGAUUCAAUAGUUAUACGUUAUCUUUGCAAUUUCUGGCGAGUCGUGUGCUGUGCUGAUAACAGAGAACAUCGAACAUCAUCUACUCAAAAUAAUUAACCAAAAGGGGGACAACAUUGGGAGCAAGGAUGGAUUUCUUCGAAGUCGAAAGAAAACGUUAGCUUGAAGUUAGUUCUGAAUUACCUGCCAGGCAUAUUUUACGGAUUUCUGCAAAGGAAAAAGGUGUAACAUACUACAAAUUACAUGCAAAUGAUGGUUUUAUAUAUGAUACACCAAGGAUAAGAUCUAUCAUUGGUGUUUAAAUUAGAAAAUCAAUAUGGGAAAACAAACAGCAGACGGAAGUUGGAACUUUUUCGCACAGUUUGUCAGUCAGUUCAGAAUUUAAGGUGCAUGAGGCAAACGAGUCGUGUAUAUUAUACAUCAUAUUUAAUUGCAACACGAAUGGCAACAGUCGGAACAAAGACAACAACAACAGCAACAGCAGAAUAUAAUGACAAUUACUAUGGCAGGGAUUCCAAUGGAGAUGGGAUGUGGUAGCUCAUUCCAAGCCUCAAACAGACACAAAUUUAUAAAUUAUUUAUAAACAGGAAUGUGUGGAAGAUCAAGGCCGAGUAUGUGAAUGAGAUUUAUGCGUAAUAGCAACGGAAUAUUUGUAGACUUACCUCAGUUUCGUUGACCCGCUCAUCGCCAGCCACAACCUGAGCCAUUCUGAUUUUUUAUUUGGUUUCGCUUUUAACUAGCUUUUUGUUGGUUUUCGGUCACACAACGUUGCACUUUUGUCGGGUGUGCACUUGAUUCAACAAAGCUCAAAAUUCAUUUCAAUUCGAGCUGUUCGGGGUUUCAUUUCAUUGUCUUCUCUAAUUGUGGAAACCUGAAGCGUCGUUGUCGUGGAGACGGCUGGCGACACAACCAAACGAUUAAACAACUGAAAGCCAACUGAAAUGAUUCCCAGCUAAGAGAGUGCCCGCCGCGAAGCCACUGGAGCACGCGAGCUCUCUUUGCUCGCGGUAGAGAGAGAGCGUUUCUGCCUCGACUUGGCUUGGCGCGCGGGGACUUGACUAAUUGCAGGAGCUCAGUGUCGUAAAAUGGGAUUUAUUGAUUUAUUUUCAGCGAGCCGCUACCACCGAUCUGUCGGAACAAUCAAUGGAGGGCCAAUCGGUAAUCGGUAAUGGAUAGCUGGAGGGUUUUUAUAAAUUUUAGGUCUUUAUUUUCUAGGCUGAGAAGCAGUUUCAAUAAAUAGCAUUUUAAAUACUUUGCGCCCUUUUAUGCGUAAGACAUACACACACAAUUUGCUUCGAAUCUCUGGGGCUACGGGUUACGGGUACUUGAUGUUAGCUGACGCAUGGGUUUUGAUAUCGAUUUUAAUAAGCCUUUCACACACAGCGUUUAA
Long non-coding RNA from Drosophila miranda, 2533 nucleotides. RefSeq lists it as uncharacterized. NCBI's taxonomy places the organism in Eukaryota, Metazoa, Arthropoda, Insecta, Diptera, Drosophilidae. The transcript is spliced from 3 exons. The record is from RefSeq and is a predicted model, not a curated record.